This is a non-coding RNA of Gossypium raimondii (Peruvian cotton), 114 nucleotides long. NCBI's taxonomy places the organism in Eukaryota, Viridiplantae, Streptophyta, Magnoliopsida, Malvales, Malvaceae. The record is from Rfam.
UAUUAAAAAUUUCAUCCAUUUUUACUGUUAAAAAUUUGAUUUUUGUACCUAGCAUGACGUAUACAUGGCGUCACUAUCAGUUUUUAACGGUACAAAUAAAUGAAAUUUUUAACA